CAUAGGUUAAUGAGGCGAACCGGGGGAACUGAAACAUCUAAGUACCCCGAGGAAAAGAAAUCAACCGAGAUUCCCCCAGUAGCGGCGAGCGAACGGGGAGCAGCCCAGAGCCUGAAUCAGUGUGUGUGUUAGUGGAAGCGUCUGGAAAGGCGCGCGAUACAGGGUGACAGCCCCGUACACAAAAAUGCACAUGCUGUGAGCUCGAUGAGUAGGGCGGGACACGUGGUAUCCUGUCUGAAUAUGGGGGGACCAUCCUCCAAGGCUAAAUACUCCUGACUGACCGAUAGUGAACCAGUACCGUGAGGGAAAGGCGAAAAGAACCCCGGCGAGGGGAGUGAAAAAGAACCUGAAACCGUGUACGUACAAGCAGUGGGAGCACGCUUCGGCGUGUGACUGCGUACCUUUUGUAUAAUGGGUCAGCGACUUAUAUUCUGUAGCAAGGUUAACCGAAUAGGGGAGCCGAAGGGAAACCGAGUCUUAACUGGGCGUUAAGUUGCAGGGUAUAGACCCGAAACCCGGUGAUCUAGCCAUGGGCAGGUUGAAGGUUGGGUAACACUAACUGGAGGACCGAACCGACUAAUGUUGAAAAAUUAGCGGAUGACUUGUGGCUGGGGGUGAAAGGCCAAUCAAACCGGGAGAUAGCUGGUUCUCCCCGAAAGCUAUUUAGGUAGCGCCUCGUGAAUUCAUCUCCGGGGGUAGAGCACUGUUUCGGCAAGGGGGUCAUCCCGACUUACCAACCCGAUGCAAACUGCGAAUACCGGAGAAUGUUAUCACGGGAGACACACGGCGGGUGCUAACGUCCGUCGUGAAGAGGGAAACAACCCAGACCGCCAGCUAAGGUCCCAAAGUCAUGGUUAAGUGGGAAACGAUGUGGGAAGGCCCAGACAGCCAGGAUGUUGGCUUAGAAGCAGCCAUCAUUUAAAGAAAGCGUAAUAGCUCACUGGUCGAGUCGGCCUGCGCGGAAGAUGUAACGGGGCUAAACCAUGCACCGAAGCUGCGGCAGCGACGCUUAUGCGUUGUUGGGUAGGGGAGCGUUCUGUAAGCCUGUGAAGGUGUGCUGUGAGGCAUGCUGGAGGUAUCAGAAGUGCGAAUGCUGACAUAAGUAACGAUAAAGCGGGUGAAAAGCCCGCUCGCCGGAAGACCAAGGGUUCCUGUCCAACGUU
Molecule: ribosomal RNA, 1163 nt
Filed under: Escherichia coli
Lineage: Bacteria; Pseudomonadati; Pseudomonadota; Gammaproteobacteria; Enterobacterales; Enterobacteriaceae
Description: partial 23S ribosomal RNA
Rfam family: Bacterial large subunit ribosomal RNA
Source: RNAcentral